CAUGUUGCGCUCUGCUGUAACAUUAGGCUGGUUUGACUCAGAAUUGUAUCGACAGUUAGGAAAUACUGGAAAUUCUAACUACUGUCAAUAAGACAGAUAAGAGAAGAAUUUCGUUAUUUUCUUCAUAAAGUUAUGAGGUGAGGACUAGAGCACACACUACAGUUAUGCUGUUUAAAGCCUGAUAAAAGACGCAAGAGGAAACUUUUCUCGACAUUUAAGCUGAGUGAUACUAGCUGUUGUUGUACUGGGGGUUAUAAUUGCUGCCAUUGGGAUUGGGGCCUACUUCCUGAGAGACUGCCCUGUCCAGCCCUACAUCCCAGUCUACCUUAUAGUAUUUGGU
This is a long non-coding RNA of Onychostoma macrolepis, 340 nucleotides long. RefSeq lists it as uncharacterized. The transcript is spliced from 3 exons. NCBI's taxonomy places the organism in Eukaryota, Metazoa, Chordata, Actinopteri, Cypriniformes, Cyprinidae. The record is from RefSeq and is a predicted model, not a curated record.